AUUAGAAAGAAUACCAAUUGCGAAGGCAGCUUUCUGGAUCAUUACUGACACUGAGGAACGAAAGCAUGGGUAGCGAAGAGGAUUAGAUACCCUCGUAGUCCAUGCCGUAAACGAUGUGUGUUAGACGUUGGAAAUUUAUUUUCAGUGUCGCAGUGAAAGCGAUAAACACACCGCCUGGGGAGUACGACCGCAAGGUUAAAACUCAAAUGAAUUGACGGGGACCCGCACAAGUAGUGGAGCAUGUGGUUUAAUUCGAAGAUACGCGCAGAACCUUACCAACACUUGACAUGUUCGUCGCGACUUUAAGAGAUUAAAGUUUUCGGUUCGGCCGGACGAAACACAGGUGCUGCAUGGCUGUCGUCAGCUCGUGUCGUGAGAUGUUGGGUUAAGUCCCGCAACGAGCGCAACCCUCACUUUUAGUUGCCAUCAUUUAGUUGGGCACUCUGAAAGAACUGCCAGUGAUAAGCUGGAGGAAGGUGGGGAUGACGUCAAGUCCUCAUGGCCCUUACGUGUUGGGCUACACACGUGCUACAAUGGUACAUACAACAGGAAGCAAAACGGCGACGUUAAGCAAAUCCUUAAAAUGUACCUCAGUUCGGAUUGCACUCUGCAACUCGAGUGCAUGAAGCUGGAAUUACUAGUAAUCGUGGAUCAGCGUGCCACGGUGAAUGCGUUCCCGGGUCUUGUACACACCGCCCGUCACACCAUGGGAGUUGGUUCUACCUUAAGGCAAGGUUUCAAACCCUUGACCACGGUAUAGUCAGCGACUGGGGUGAAGUCGUAACAAGGUAGCCGUAGGGGAACCUGCGGCUG
This 813-nucleotide ribosomal RNA is filed under the name marine metagenome. RNAcentral describes it as "bacterial SSU rRNA". It matches the Rfam family "Bacterial small subunit ribosomal RNA", at positions 696 to 1520 of the family's 1533-position model. The record is from RNAcentral.